UACGUAGGGCGCAAGCGUUAUCCGGAAUUAUUGGGCGUAAAGAGCUUGUAGGCGGUUUGUCGCGUCUGCUGUGAAAAUCCGGGGCUCAACCCCGGACUUGCAGUGGGUACGGGCAGACUAGAGUGUGGUAGGGGAGACUGGAAUUCCUGGUGUAGCGGUGAAAUGCGCAGAUAUCAGGAGGAACACCGGUGGCGAAGGCGGGUCUCUGGGCCGAUACUGACGCUGAGGAGCGAAAGCGUGGGGGAGCGAACAGG
RNAcentral lists this ribosomal RNA (254 nucleotides) under uncultured bacterium. RNAcentral describes it as "partial 16S ribosomal RNA". It matches the Rfam family "Bacterial small subunit ribosomal RNA", at positions 524 to 776 of the family's 1533-position model. The record is from RNAcentral.